ACCGGCAGCUCAAGUGGUGGCCAUUUUUAUUGGGCCUAAAGCGUUCGUAGCCGGUUUGAUAAGUCUCUGGUGAAAUCCCGCAGCUUAACUGUGGGACUUGCUGGAGAUACGAUUAGACUUGAGGUCGGGAGAGGUUAGGGGUACUCCCAGGGUAGGGUUAAAAGCAUAUAUGCCUGGGGGGACAACUGGUGGCGAGGGCGCGUACUGGAACGAACCUGACGGUGAGUAACGAAAGCGAGGGGCGCGAACCG
Molecule: ribosomal RNA, 251 nt
Filed under: uncultured prokaryote
Description: partial 16S rRNA
Rfam family: Archaeal small subunit ribosomal RNA
Source: RNAcentral